GGGUGUAUAGAUCAGUUGGUAGAGCAUUGGGCUUUUAACCUAAUGGUUGCAGGUUCAAGUCCUGCUAUACCCA
Molecule: transfer RNA, 73 nt
Filed under: Triticum aestivum (bread wheat)
Lineage: Eukaryota; Viridiplantae; Streptophyta; Magnoliopsida; Poales; Poaceae
Also listed under: 2 other names
Description: tRNA tRNA-Lys
Rfam family: tRNA
About the family: Transfer RNA (tRNA) molecules are approximately 80 nucleotides in length. Their secondary structure includes four short double-helical elements and three loops (D, anti-codon, and T loops).
Source: Rfam by way of RNAcentral